This 751-nucleotide long non-coding RNA is filed under the name Phasianus colchicus (ring-necked pheasant). Its description in RNAcentral is "lncRNA (ENSPCLG00000002965.1)". Lineage: Eukaryota; Metazoa; Chordata; Aves; Galliformes; Phasianidae. The record is from RNAcentral.
CUCCCCUGCAGUGAGUUCUCCCAGUGAGAUCAACUCCCAGCCAGCAGGAACUGUCUCCAGUGACACUAUAUUCAAGUAACAGAUGUUUUCAGGGUGGUCAGCCACCACCAGAGCACCGCCAGGCCCUGCAGAGAACCCAGAGAGGUUCUGUGCCCAUGGCAGUCAGUGGAGGACACAGAUGUGAAGUCAUCAUGAAGCAGGAAUGUGACACUUGCUGUUUCCUUUGUGUUGCACAGAUACGGGAAGGACAAGAGUCAUUUCCAGGUUAAGAAGAUGCAACAGACAUGAGGAGACUUGCAGACGGGAUUGCUAAGGAGGCAUCUCUUCAGCAAAGGCUGGGCCGUGAGAACCCAUCCAGGAAAUGCCAGGCAGCGUGAGUAAUGCCGCAGUGCCUCUGGGAUGUGUCAGCAGGAGAUGGGUGCCGCACAAAGGGAAGCAGUGCCGCAGCUAUUUCCUGUGACUGCAGGAGAACCCGCCUGCUCCUCUGGGUAAUCGUGAGCUGACGCUGCAGGCAGCCUGGCUUGCGUCAUUCCGGCAGAGCUGGGGACUUCUCAGCAUGGGGAAAUGGCAUCCAGUUCCUGUGGGCAUGCCCAGCUGGCCCAACUUGAAAGAAGCACCAGACACAGCUGAAAAGAAGGGAGCGAAUGGCUUCUGCCAUCCCACUUGUUACCUCAGCAGCUCAUGUGGUGGACCUAGCACAGGGUUUUCUCCCGGGAUUCCUCUACGGUGUGCCAUGUACUGCUGUGGGUGA